UGGGGAAUUUUGGACAAUGGGCGAAAGCCUGAUCCAGCAAUGCCGCGUGUGUGAAGAAGGCCUUCGGGUUGUAAAGCACUUUUGUCCGGAAAGAAAUCCUUGGCUCUAAUACAGUCGGGGGAUGACGGUACCGGAAGAAUAAGCACCGGCUAACUACGUGCCAGCAGCCGCGGUAAUACGUAGGGUGCAAGCGUUAAUCGGAAUUACUGGGCGUAAAGCGUGCGCAGGCGGUUUGCUAAGACCGAUGUGAAAUCCCCGGGCUCAACCUGGGAACUGCAUUGGUGACUGGCAGGCUAGAGUAUGGCAGAGGGGGGUAGAAUUCCACGUGUAGCAGUGAAAUGCGUAGAGAUGUGGAGGAAUACCGAUGGCGAAGGCAGCCCCCUGGGCCAAUACUGACGCUCAUGCACGAAAAGCGUGGGGAGCAAAACAGGAUUAGAUACCCUGGUAGUCCACGCCCUAAAACGAUGUCAACUAGUUGUUGGGGAUUCAUUUCCUUAGUAACGUAGCUAACGCGU
This 515-nucleotide ribosomal RNA is filed under the name uncultured bacterium. Its description in RNAcentral is "partial 16S ribosomal RNA". It matches the Rfam family "Bacterial small subunit ribosomal RNA", at positions 355 to 860 of the family's 1533-position model. The record is from RNAcentral.